Molecule: long non-coding RNA, 479 nt
Filed under: Cricetulus griseus (Chinese hamster)
Lineage: Eukaryota; Metazoa; Chordata; Mammalia; Rodentia; Cricetidae
Description: lncRNA (ENSCGRG00015041309.1)
Source: RNAcentral
UGAGUGGAUUCCAUCUUGGAGUUUAUAAUAUCAGACAGACUGCCGGAUCCUGACAGUGACCCAAAGUCUCCAAAGAAGAUUAUGAGGCACCCCAGUUCCUGCACCUGGACCAGGGAGCGAGAUGCUCAGAUGUGAUACCUGCUGCUCACCAGGACCUGGCCGAGACUGGACAAAGCUGCUGGACACUGGAAAAUUGAUUGCACCCCCUUUGCCUAGACAAAACAAGCUGUCUUACAGGUACCUGCAUGUUUCUGGAAAAAAAAAAGUUCUGCUACUGUAUCAAGAAAUCAGUGUCUAGAUAGGUCCUCCUGCCAGACAUGUGCCAAGUCCAACCCACAGGGGGCCCUCCAAAGACACCAGCCCCUACACCAGCUCCAAAGACACCAGCUUCAAGGACACCAACCUGGUGAGGACUGGCAAGUUGGCUUCACCCAUAUACCCACUCAUAAAGCUCCAAUGUCUCCUAACUCCAGUGAAAC